GGAAGGAAGGAUCUGGCUUCUACAUAUGUCAUUGCAUUGAUGGCCAGGGUUCAUUUCGCUCAUUGGCUGGCUUGGCAGAUGUCCCCUUUCUCCCCCACUGUUCCAUGUGUGUCCCGUUUGAAGCUGAGAGCUCAAAGAAGAUGACCUUUCCCAAAUAGAGACGACUGGUUUUUGGUAGAGGGUAUAUAGUAGCUGCACUCCCCUGCUAAAAUCUCCAAACAAGUUCUCAAGAAAGGAAACGUUAAUUGCUGCCAUGUGUCAGACACUGGAAAUGAAUAAGGAUGAGGAAGAAAUGGUCCCCACUGC
This is an unclassified non-coding RNA of Erinaceus europaeus (western European hedgehog), 306 nucleotides long. Its record names the gene 7SK. It matches the Rfam family "7SK RNA". From Rfam's summary of the family: 7SK was discovered as an abundant small nuclear RNA in the mid-70s but a possible function has only recently been suggested. Two independent studies have found that 7SK RNA binds the CDK9/cyclin T complex (known as elongation factor P-TEFb). The record is from Ensembl. NCBI's taxonomy places the organism in Eukaryota, Metazoa, Chordata, Mammalia, Eulipotyphla, Erinaceidae.